GAAGGUAUAGCUCAAGUGGUAGAGCAUAUGCAUAGCAUGUCCAGGGUCCUGGGUUCAAUCCCCAGCACCUCCU
This 73-nucleotide transfer RNA is filed under the name Camelus bactrianus (Bactrian camel). It matches the Rfam family "tRNA". From Rfam's summary of the family: Transfer RNA (tRNA) molecules are approximately 80 nucleotides in length. Their secondary structure includes four short double-helical elements and three loops (D, anti-codon, and T loops). The record is from Rfam by way of RNAcentral. Lineage: Eukaryota; Metazoa; Chordata; Mammalia; Artiodactyla; Camelidae. RNAcentral also lists the same sequence under 2 other names.